This 244-nucleotide ribosomal RNA is filed under the name uncultured bacterium. RNAcentral describes it as "partial 16S ribosomal RNA". It matches the Rfam family "Bacterial small subunit ribosomal RNA", at positions 524 to 766 of the family's 1533-position model. The record is from RNAcentral.
UACAGAGGGUGCGAGCGUUGUCCGGAAUCACUGGGCGUAAAGGGCGCGUAGGCGGCUUGAUAAGCGUGCGGUGAAAGCCCGGGGCUCAACCCCGGGUCGGCCGUGCGAACUGUCGAGCUGGAGCACUGUAGAGGCAGGUGGAAUUCCGGGUGUAGCGGUGGAAUGCGUAGAGAUCCGGAAGAACACCGGUGGCGAAGGCGGCCUGCUGGGCAGUGGCUGACGCUGGAGGCGCGACAGCGUGGGG